This 72-nucleotide transfer RNA is filed under the name Camelus bactrianus (Bactrian camel). It matches the Rfam family "tRNA". Rfam says of the family: Transfer RNA (tRNA) molecules are approximately 80 nucleotides in length. Their secondary structure includes four short double-helical elements and three loops (D, anti-codon, and T loops). Lineage: Eukaryota; Metazoa; Chordata; Mammalia; Artiodactyla; Camelidae. The record is from Rfam by way of RNAcentral. RNAcentral also lists the same sequence under 2 other names.
GAGAGUAUAUCUCAGUGGUAGAGUGUGUGCUUAGCAUGCAUGAGGUCCUGGGUUCAAUCCCCAGUACGUCCA